Molecule: ribosomal RNA, 238 nt
Filed under: uncultured bacterium
Lineage: Bacteria
Description: partial 16S ribosomal RNA
Rfam family: Bacterial small subunit ribosomal RNA
Source: RNAcentral
GAUCAUGGCUCAGGAUGAACGCUGGCGGCGUGCUUAACACAUGCAAGUCGAUCGAAGCGCUUUUGCGGAUUUCUUCGGAUUGAAGCAACUGUGACUGAGCGGGCGGACGGGUGAGUAACGCGUGGGUAACCUGCCUCAUACAGGGGGGAUAACAGUUGGAAACGGCUGCUAAUACCGCAUAAGCGCACAGUACCGCAUGGUACCGUGUGAAAAACUCCGGUGGUAUGAGAUGGACCCG